CAUACCCUGGAGAGCUCGUGACAAAUGUCGUCGCUGGCCUCACAAGCAUUCAUUGAGGGAAUUGACGAAAACUCUGUGUGCAGGCCCGGAAUACGCCGGGAAGCCUUAAGAUUCUUCCGAUUUUCCCGCCGUAGGCGCUCACAGGUCCUGCGGGAAGGCACUUGCACGGUUCAUCCGGGGUAAAA
RNAcentral lists this non-coding RNA (185 nucleotides) under Desulfovibrio sp. RNAcentral describes it as "6S RNA". It matches the Rfam family "6S / SsrS RNA". Rfam says of the family: E. coli 6S RNA was the first non coding RNA to be sequenced, but its function was unknown until recently. It consists of 184 nucleotides that fold into an extended hairpin structure with a large single-stranded internal bulge. Lineage: Bacteria; Pseudomonadati; Thermodesulfobacteriota; Desulfovibrionia; Desulfovibrionales; Desulfovibrionaceae. The record is from RNAcentral.